RNAcentral lists this non-coding RNA (26 nucleotides) under Homo sapiens (human). Lineage: Eukaryota; Metazoa; Chordata; Mammalia; Primates; Hominidae. The record is from RNAcentral.
UGUGAGAGUGUAGAGAAUGUUGCUGC